Gallus gallus (chicken) is the source of this 1180-nucleotide long non-coding RNA. NCBI's taxonomy places the organism in Eukaryota, Metazoa, Chordata, Aves, Galliformes, Phasianidae. The record is from Ensembl.
AAAACACUCUGGGCCUAUGAUGCUUUGAGGAUACUUAGUUUGUAUUAUAUCUCAAAUAGCAGCCAACCUGUCCUUCUCAAAGGACCAAAAUAAUUAUGCAAUACCCUGAAACUUGGAAGAACUGCACAAGAAAAUGAGGAAGGGAAUAAAUAUGCUCAAAAUAGAGUGACCUUCAGCUUCAUCUUUGCUGCACCUCCAGUGGUAAUAAGCAUGUCAAAGAAAAAAUGAAGAUAAUUCCACUUUCCCCAGGAACUUAGUCUGCCCAUUAAUUGAGUUGCAUUUCUUUAAGCUCAUGGUUUACUUCUGGGAAAGAAAUCUCUAAUUCAGCAUAGCAGUUGCCCUGUUCAGCUUGGAAGUCAGUGGUUCAUGAAGACCGUGCCUGUCUAGCCAGUCAGGUUUUGGGAUUCUUAUGCUGGGACACAUGUCGGACUCUGCAGAUGGCAUAGAGCUAAUGUAUGCUGCAGAUUCACACCCGGUAGCAAUUGCUUCUGAAACCACUGCCUCUUAGCUCCAUAUACCACAAAUAAAAUUACUUAUUCUGCACAAGCAAAAAACUUUCUGCUUGGUUUCUUGUUGGAAACAGAAAUCUUCCCUUUACCUAGCAAAGAAAAGGCGCACCUUUGUGUUCAUUCCAUGUGUGUGAAGAGCCUUCUCAAGUGUAUAUAAUUCACCCAGCAUCUCUUCAGGCAUCAGUCUCUCAUCCUACUGAGAAAGGAAUGUUACAAAGCCAUCUGUAAGAGGAGCAGAAUUACAUGAACCCGAAUAAACGACUGCCUUAACUACUCCAAAACCCACAAUCAGGGUACCUGAUAAUCAUUCAGAAAAGAAGCAGACUUGUGAUCCCAGCUUUUUUAACUGACACCAUCUGCCUCUUAGUCUCUUUCUCCUGCUGACACCAACAGGUUUUCACCUUCUGGUUCACGAACACCUUGCCAGAAUAAUUUCCAUCCCUGGCUGGAACCAGGCUGCCUUUUUCCUCACUCUGUCGUGCCUCAGGCAGAGCUUUCCCAGGAGCAGUGCUGGAAGACAGGAGGUCCUCCUCUGUCCUGGAGUGGCUGUGAACAUCUCUGGCACUGCUGUGUCAUGCACCUUUGUUUCUGGAGAGCAGAGUGGAAGGGUGGGUGAAGCAGGAAUGUGGAUCUGCCCACUGCUCAUAAGUACCUACCUGCAGACUUAGCAC